Molecule: non-coding RNA, 784 nt
Organism: Marmota monax (woodchuck)
Lineage: Eukaryota; Metazoa; Chordata; Mammalia; Rodentia; Sciuridae
Source: the annotation of a RefSeq genome assembly
CUUAUUAAGAGGUUGCUCACACCCUGUGCAGGAGUCAGUCCCAGUCAGGACACAGCAUGGCCAUGAGGGCCCCUUCUCAGCUCCUGGGGCUCCUGCUGCUCUGCCUCCCAGGCUUCAGAUGUGACAUCAUGAUGACCCAGUCUCCAUCCUCCUUGCCUGUGUCUCGUGGAGACAGAGUCACCAUCACCUGCAGGGCCAGUCAGGGUAUUAGCAAUAAUCUACACUGGUAUCAGCAGAAACCAGGCCAAGCUCCUAAGCUCCUCAUCAAAUAUGCAAACACUUUGGAAUCUGGGUUCCCCUCAAGGUUCAGUGGCAGUGGAUCUGGGACAGAUUUCACUCUCACCAUCAGGAGCCUGGAGCCUGAGGAUGUUGCUGAUUAUUACUGUCAACAAAAGGCUCACUCAGGGCUCCAGGUCUGGAAACAAACAGCACACAUGGCCCAUGAUUCUGAAGGAAGCCUGCUAUGGGAGAAAACCAAGAAGUCCUCACUGCACCUGCUCCUCCGCCUCCACCCAAGGCUUCCAUAGCACAGCUGCAGCCUCUGUGGAGACCUGUGUGAGCAGGUGAGGGCUUAAAAUAGAUGCCCUGCUCUACCUUCUUCUGCUGGUUGCUGAUGUUACAUCACCUUCAUUUGAGAACAUCCUCCUACAUACUCGUCUCAACCACCAAGUGAGAAGCAGAAACCUAUGAUUACAGUUGAAUUGUACAACCAGCACAAUAAGUAUCUUAGAUGUUUCUUUGUCUCCUGUCUGAAGGACCCUGAGUUAAUAAAAAAUAGAAUAUA